This 951-nucleotide long non-coding RNA is filed under the name Dermacentor andersoni. RNAcentral describes it as "uncharacterized LOC126530695". The record is from RNAcentral. Lineage: Eukaryota; Metazoa; Arthropoda; Arachnida; Ixodida; Ixodidae.
AUUGCAGAGAAAAACGAGCAGAGACACACGAGAUGAAGAGUCACGUCAGGUUCCUUCACAGAGUGUCACUUAUGAUGCACAAGCUUCCACAUUGACCUCUCUUUUGGACAGUUUGGAAUAUGUGAGUAGGCAUUCACUGUCUUGACAUACUAUCACUGAGAAUAUGUGCUCACUGUUAUGUGUCCUACCCAUACCAGGUUGGAGAUAGUGCCGAGACAAUUCUAGACAGCGCUUGUGCAUGCCAGGAAACAGAAGUAAGCAAUCAUGCCAACAGCUUAAGCUUACAGGUACACCAGACACGAUAAAACCAUGCCAACUGUUGCUAUCGUUCUUUCAACAGGAGACUUCCCACAGUGAGCCUGCAGUGUUCACUGAUGCAUUUGAAAGUGAACCAGCUGUAUGUGACCUCCUGCACCACUUAUUGGCACAAGUGCUGUUCAAUUCUUUACACAUUAUGAAAGAGUAAGCAGUCGUGCAAAUUCUUCUGCCUCCUUAUAUUGUCAUAUUUAAAGGUAACUCAACUUCAACAGGCUGCAGCACACAUGGAAACCACAUCAUUCAACAAUGUUUUGGGGAAUGAAGAUGUAAGUGCUCACACAGCCAGUCUAGGCUUCUGAACACGGUGCCUGUUAAGAAGUACACACAUUCACAUGGUUUCUCCUUUCAUAGGCUCACUGCAAUGAAGAUACAUUUCCCAGCUCUGGCACAGUUUGUGAACCAGAUGUGAGUGGUCGGGACAAUCUAGGCUUUUUCAUAUGCUGCUUCAAGUGGAACUGAGCUGCCAAUUUCUUCUGCAGGUUUCCCUUCACAUUGGAAAUUCACUAGUCAGAUGUACAUUGGAUAAGGAACCAGAUGCUUUCACUUAUGGUGUAGCUACUCCAGACAGCAGUGUUGCAGAAAAUGAAGUUUGUGGGAGCUUAAUAUCAGAUCACGAAGUUGACGUAAGUAUGC